RNAcentral lists this ribosomal RNA (396 nucleotides) under uncultured bacterium. Its description in RNAcentral is "partial 16S ribosomal RNA". It matches the Rfam family "Bacterial small subunit ribosomal RNA", at positions 523 to 918 of the family's 1533-position model. The record is from RNAcentral.
AUACGUAGGUGGCAAGCGUUGUCCGGAAUUAUUGGGCGUAAAGCGCAUGUAGGCGGUUUGGUAAGUCGGUCGUGAAAAUGCGGUGCUUAACGCCGUAUGGCGAUUGAAACUGCUGAACUUGAGUGCAGGAGAGGAAAGGGGAACUCCCAGUGUAGCGGUGAAAUGCGUAGAUAUUGGGAAGAACACCGGUGGCGAAGGCGCCUUUCUGGACUGUGUCGGACGCUCAGAUGCGAAAGCCAGGGUAGCGAACGGGAUUAGAUACCCCGGUAGUCCUGGCCGUAAACGAUGGGUACUAGGUGUGGGAGGUAUCGACUCCUUCCGUGCCGGAGUUAACGCAAUAAGUACCCCGCCUGGGGAGUACGGCCGCAAGGCUUAAACUCAAAGGAAUUGACGGGG